UAACAUGUUAAUAUGUGAAGAAUAAAUAUAUUUAAGAAUAAUUAUAUUGCUUGUAUUUUGGUUGCAGUUAAGGAGGACAUUGUAGUGUGUAUUAGCUGUUCAAGUGGACAUGGACAACAGGACAGAUUUGACAUUAUAAUAUGUGUACGUUUUUAGUCCGAUUAAGUAGGUCAGAGAGGUGUGUGCGGUGAAGCACGGCGGUUGGGGUUCCACCUUGGCCUAAUUUUGAGCCUGGAAAAACCCUGCAUCUUACUAUACUUGCUCAGGGACUAUUUCUUGUUCACAAAAACUGAAAACACAAAAAUACAGUAUAUUAUGACAUUCUAGCAUGUAGUGUUACCAAUACCAUGGUUGUUAAUGUUGAUCAAUAAUUACGGAAAUGCCUGGAGCUCCUUACUGUAACCUUUGGCUGCCAUUACAGGCUAGCUUUGUAUUUGCUGUAUAGGAUGGCUUGACACCAUCCUGUGGCCCAACAAGUGUAACUACAGUAACCUUUAACGUGUGUUUAUUUCAUCCCACAGACUAAUCAGAGUGCCCAUAGAAAAUAAGUUCUGGUAUGUGUGAGGUGGUGUGGUAAAUGGCCAAUAUACCACGUCUGAGUGCUGGUGUUAUGUACGACGCAUUGCGGAGGGCCUGGAUACAGCACUUAACUGUGGUAUAUUGGCUGAAAACCACGUGCCUCCAAGAUGAAUACUGUUAUUGAAAAACUCUUCACAGCCAAUCAGCAUGUAGGGUCUCAUACCUCUUGGUUUGUAAUUUCUGAUAUACUACCACAGCUAUCAGACAAUUAGCUCCCAGGUGCCAUUUUUACAUUUUAGUCAUUUAGCUAACGCCCUUUCCUAGAGCGACUUACCACAGUGAGUGCAUACAUUUCUGACCCAAAUUGUAAAUGAACUUGCCUGAAAUUUUGAUCUCAGCCUCUGUUGUAUGAUUGUUCUGUUGGAGAUGGAUUCUGCUGAGGAACCUGUAGGUAUCUCUCUUCACAACAACGUCCCCUGUCACAGUAUAAAGGCCCUCAACAACAGUGUAGCUAAAUUUUUACCAGCUUAAUUGAUGAAGAAAUUAUAAAGGAACACCUGUCCAUGAAACAGCUUUUGAGUCAAUUGCCCAAUUACAUUUGGUUCCUUGAAAAAGAGGCUGCUACAUAUUAAAGAGCUGUAAUUCCUGAACCCUACCUCCAAUUUGGAUGUGAAUACCUCAAAUUAAAGCUGAGAGACUGCACUUCAAGCACAUACUUAUUAUUUAACUGUGACCUGAAUAUAUAUUUGGUAAACAGACAAAAUAACAAAACUGUGUCCAAUUAUUUCCGGACCUAAACUGUAUGUGUUCAUCAUCUAUUGUAUUUGUGUGUCAACAUUGUGUAGAACUCAGUGAUCUGGCAUGCCUGCAAUUCUUUUAACAAAUUACAUCUCAACAAUCUCCAGAUUUUGACAGUCACAUUGUUUCGGGAUACAUUUUUUUUUUAAAGACAUUAACAUUCCCCCGAAAUUGGAAACCCUAGUUUUUUGCAUCGCACGUGAUUGAAUUACAACCCAAACUUUCGGGACAUUCCUCUUCUUUGGGGUAGCUAUGGAUUUGGUACACAAUGCCGACGGUCACGUCUGGACAGGUCAACAAAAGCAAAAGUGAUAUUUAACUGACUUGUUUUCUGUAGUCACUCAGUAGGUCCUUCACAGGAAUUAUGUUCUGACUUCUAACCUCUGGUCAAGUCCUAAUCCUGACAGUUUAAUGUGGGUCAACGGGUUAACUGUUACUGGCAGGAGGAUAGCAGCACUUUCUCUUGGACUGAUGUUGUCAGACUUGAUAGUUAGAGGUAAGUCUCUAACCCAAAAUCCCUGCAUUACAAAUAAUUCAAAUGAGAAUAUACAGUAUUUAUUACAAGUGUUUGACUAAUUGUGACACAGUUUAAAAUUAUGACUAAUUGUGACUAAUGACUCAUCAAACAUGGGUAUUCAAAUCUCCUCCAACGAGAGCCGGAGCCUGCUGGUUUUCUGUCCUACCUAAUCAUUAAUUGCCCCCAUCUGGUGUACCAGGUUUAAAUAUGUCCCUGAUUAUGUGGUUGCAAUGAAGAAAUGGAGUGGAACCGGAGGGCCAGAUCUGAAUACCUCUGAAACAGGCCAUUGCCAUGUGAUUGAGUUAAGUAGUGUCAUGACCACAGUGUUUGUAUUUUUCCAGAGAGCUAUCAGUCUGUGUGUUGGGCCUGUAUCUCACUAGGUAGUGCAGGAAAGGUCCUGUCCUGGCCCGAGGAGACAGCGACGUUUCCAUGUAACUACAGCUACGAGGACCGACAGAACAUUACCCAGCUGUCCAUACAGUGGAGAGGACCUGGAAACAAACUCCUGUGUCACUACAUCAAACACAAGGCCUUCCUGAACUGCAGCCAGGGUUACUCACUGGACUAUAAACCAAAGAAGAUCACUCUUACCAUCACAGAAGUUCGGACAGAAGACUUUGGGUCUCAUGUUUGUACCGUGAGCAAGAGACAUGAGUUCUCUGACUGUAACAUUGAGCUAGCCAUGAAAACAGAUCCGAUCACUUCCUUUCCUACAAACAGGUGGGAUCGAACAGUGCUUCCUGAACGUCAUCUUGUUGUCCUUGCCUGCUCAGUGUUUGUCAGCACCUGGGGCUUAUGGUAGAAAUAAUAAAAUAUCUAUGAAUCUAGAAAUAUGUUAUUGAACAUAACAGAUUGAUAUGUCAUGUUUCAUAAAAAUGUUAUAUUUUAAAAUGGCAAAGAAUACAAGCUUUCUACAUGUAUGCAACAGACUCAUGGGUCUAAUACUUGUGUGAAUAAAACCUAACAGAUGAGUUAGUAUUAGCACUACAAUCAUGUUGUCUGGAUUCCUCAGAAUUCUUGCCCCUGUUUGGUUUUUGCUAAGUUCAUACAUACAAUAGUUUUACAGUGUACAUUAAUAAUAGGGAUAUUUUCCUCACAAAGAUAGUAAUAACAUAAAAUAGGGCUCCUGGGUUACUUUUA
This is a long non-coding RNA of Esox lucius (northern pike), 2974 nucleotides long. Lineage: Eukaryota; Metazoa; Chordata; Actinopteri; Esociformes; Esocidae. The record is from Ensembl.